This 467-nucleotide ribosomal RNA is filed under the name uncultured bacterium. Its description in RNAcentral is "partial 16S ribosomal RNA". It matches the Rfam family "Bacterial small subunit ribosomal RNA", at positions 28 to 507 of the family's 1533-position model. The record is from RNAcentral.
GACGAACGCUGGCGGCGUGCUUAACACAUGCAAGUCGAACGGAAAGGCCCUGCUUUUGUGGGGUUCUCGAGUGGCGAACGGGUGAGUAACACGUGAGUAACCUGCCCUUGACUUUGGGAUAACUUCAGGAAACUGGGGCUAAUACCGGAUAGGAGCUCCUGCUGCAUGGUGGGGGUUGGAAAGUUUCGGCGGUUGGGCAUGGACUCGCGGCUUAUCAGCUUGUUGGUGGGGUAGUGGCUUACCAAGGCUUUGACGGGUAGCCGGCCUGAGAGGGUGACCGGCCCAUUUGGGGUCGGGAUAGGGCCGAACCCACUCGGGGGGGCAGGGGGGGGGAAUUUUCAAAAAGGGGGGGGCGCCUGACCGAGCACCGCCGGGUGGGGGAGGGGGGCCUUGGGGUUGUAACCCGCUUGCCCUUGGACCAAAGCGUGGUUGACGGUAUUGGGUAAAGAAGCACGGGCUAAUUAGUG